Tupaia belangeri chinensis (Chinese tree shrew) is the source of this 682-nucleotide long non-coding RNA. RefSeq lists it as uncharacterized. The record is from RefSeq and is a predicted model, not a curated record. The transcript has 4 exons. NCBI's taxonomy places the organism in Eukaryota, Metazoa, Chordata, Mammalia, Scandentia, Tupaiidae.
CGCAUGUACCGACACAAACCUAGAUGGCACAGCGUACGCCACACUGGGCUAUAUGGUGUAUGUCAUCCUAUGGGGCCACCAUCAUAUAUGCGCUCUGUUGUUGAUUGAAGCAUGCUUAGGCGCCCCAUGACAGUAAUUAGUUAAGACAGAGUAGGGUCUACCCUACUCCAGUGUGACUGGUGUCCUUACAAAAAAGGGGACUUUAAACUCAGAAGUAUAUAUCCAGGGUAAAUGCCACGUGGAGGCAAAGGCAGAGGUCAGAGUGAUCCUUCUACAAGCCACAGGAUCACAGAGCAAGCAGAGAACCAUUCACAGCUGGGGCAGAGGCCUGGAACUCAUUCUCCCUGCAGCCCUUGAACGAAAUGCCUUGCCGAUACCUUGAUCUCAGACUUCUGACCUCCAGAACUUGCACAUGUUCUAUUGCAAACAGGAAAAAAAGAAGAUAAAAAGAAAAAAAGAAAAGUUCUCAAAAGCCUUUCCAGAGAAGGUGACUUUGAGCAGUGUCUGCAUUUAUCACAGUCACGGUGAAAGCUCUGGCCACAGCCCACGCAGGGAGCCGGACACUGUGGGGAUGGCACUGCAUGUGAUCCGUCUAACAAGCGGGAAGGUGGAUGACUGUUCUCUCCGUGCUGCAGCACUCCCGUCUAGCAGGGCUCCUCGGAAAAUGCAAUUUGAGUCAAGC